This 587-nucleotide non-coding RNA is filed under the name Hypsibius dujardini. RNAcentral describes it as "Bacterial large subunit ribosomal RNA". It matches the Rfam family "Eukaryotic large subunit ribosomal RNA", at positions 2393 to 3001 of the family's 3401-position model. The record is from Rfam by way of RNAcentral. Lineage: Eukaryota; Metazoa; Tardigrada; Eutardigrada; Parachela; Hypsibiidae.
AUCAGCGAGGUAUGAAGACUCUGUUGAGCUUGACUCCAGUCUGACACAGUGGGGCGACAUGAAAAGGUGUAGCAUAAGUGGGAGCCAGCAAUGGCGCAGUGAAGUACACUACUUUCAGUUUCUUCAUAAUUCAGUAAUGCGGAAUUCAGGUGCUUCGGCAGCUUCACUUCUCGCCUUAAGCCUUUGCUUUCGGCAUUGGCGAUCCGUUCUGAUAACAGGGUCGAGCGGGAAGUUUGACUGGGGCGGUAACAUCUGUCAAACGGUAACGCAGGUGUCCUAAGGCAAGCUCAGCGAAGACAGAAACCUCGCGUAGAGCAAAAGCUUGCUUGAUUAAGAUUUUCAGUACGAAUACAGACCUUGAAAGCGAGGCUUAUCGAUCCUUUUGACUCUAAAGUUUCAGCAAGAGGUGUCAGAAAAGGUACCACAGGGAUAACUGGAGUGUGGGCGGCCAAGCGUUCAUAGCGACGUCGCUUUUUGAUCCUUCGUUGUCGGCUCUUCCUAUCAUUGUGAUGCAGCUAUCGCCCGCUAACAGGGAACAGGAGCUGGUUUAGACCGUCGUGAAACAAAUUAGUUUUUAUCCUACUGAU